UUGCUAGGAUGCUGACGAGCGGCGGACGGGUGAGUAAUGCAUAGGAAUCUGCCCGAUAGUGGGGGAUAACCUGGGGAAACCCAGGCUAAUACCGCAUACGUCCUACGGGAGAAAGGGGGCUCCGGCUCCCGCUAUGGGAUGAGCCUAUGUCGGAUUAGCUAGUUGGUGAGGUAAUGGCUCACCAAGGCCACGAUCCGUAGCUGGUCUGAGAGGAUGAUCAGCCACAUCGGGACUGAGACACGGCCCGAACUCCUACGGGAGGCAGCAGUGGGGAAUAUUGGACAAUGGGCGAAAGCCUGAUCCAGCCAUGCCGCGUGUGUGAAGAAGGCCCUCGGGUUGUAAAGCACUUUCAGCGAGGAAGAACGCCUAGCGGUUAAUACCCGCUAGGAAAGACAUCACUCGCAGAAGAAGCACCGGCUAACUCCGUGCCAGCAGCCGCGGUAAUACGGAGGGUGCAAGCGUUAAUCGGAAUUACUGGGCGUAAAGCGCGCGUAGGUGGCUUGAUAAGCCGGUUGUGAAAGCCCCGGGCUCAACCUGGGAACGGCAUCCGGAACUGUCAAGCUAGAGUGCAGGAGAGGAAGGUAGAAAUUCCCGGUGUAGC
RNAcentral lists this ribosomal RNA (601 nucleotides) under Vreelandella aquamarina. RNAcentral's name for it is "bacterial SSU rRNA". It matches the Rfam family "Bacterial small subunit ribosomal RNA", at positions 77 to 679 of the family's 1533-position model. The record is from RNAcentral. Lineage: Bacteria; Pseudomonadati; Pseudomonadota; Gammaproteobacteria; Oceanospirillales; Halomonadaceae.